RNAcentral lists this ribosomal RNA (429 nucleotides) under Gemmatimonadota bacterium. RNAcentral's name for it is "Gemmatimonadetes bacterium partial 16S ribosomal RNA". It matches the Rfam family "Bacterial small subunit ribosomal RNA", at positions 355 to 776 of the family's 1533-position model. Lineage: Bacteria; Pseudomonadati; Gemmatimonadota. The record is from RNAcentral.
UAGGGAAUCUUCGGCAAUGGACGAAAGUCUGACCGAGCAACGCCGCGUGAGUGAAGAAGGUUUUCGGAUCGUAAAACUCUGUUGUUAGAGAAGAACAAGGACGUUAGUAACUGAACGUCCCCUGACGGUAUCUAACCAGAAAGCCACGGCUAACUACGUGCCAGCAGCCGCGGUCAUACGUAGGUGGCAAGCGUUGUCCGGAUUUAUUGGGCGUAAAGCGAGCGCAGGCGGUUUCUUAAGUCUGAUGUGAAAGCCCCCGGCUCAACCGGGGAGGGUCAUUGGAAACUGGGAGACUUGAGUGGAGAAGAGGAGAGUGGAAUUCCAUGUGUAGCGGUGAAAUGCAUAGAUAUAUGGAGGAACACCAGUGGCGAAGGCGGCUCUCUGGUCUGUAACUGACGCUGAGGCUCGAGAGCGUGGGGAGCAAACAGG